Molecule: non-coding RNA, 965 nt
Organism: Zonotrichia albicollis (white-throated sparrow)
Lineage: Eukaryota; Metazoa; Chordata; Aves; Passeriformes; Passerellidae
Source: RefSeq, a predicted model, not a curated record
AUGUCAGUCACUGCUACAACCAAAGAGACAUGUUGUGCACAGCUGUGGUUGGCAAAGAACUUGUGCACAUGCUGGUGCUUUGGAGUAGCAAACAGGCAAAGGAAUUGCAGCUGGUGCCUUGACUGACAAGGCUAAACAGUAUUGUUUUUGAGAUAAAUGUUCCAGCGGCUACUUUAUUUCAAUGGAAUCAGUAUGUGACAAUGACAAGCAUUUCUGGUUUUGCUGCCUCAGGACUGAGUUGACCACUCUCAUCACAAAGUGCUGAGAAGAGUCUGAGAUGAGGUGUGAAAUGCUACAAAGAUGAAAGAACCUGUCUCUAUUUCUGUGUUAGAGGAAAAGAAUGGUGAAAAGCAUCUCAGUUGAGCACAGGUCGUAAGACAUGUAUGAAUAGAAAUGAGUGAAACAAGAAAUACCUGUCCAUGGCAGGAUUCUAAGGUGGGAUGUGAGAGCUACUGAGAUGUGAGAACUCAGAAAAAGACAUUGGCUAUGUGAAUAGACUGAAGGAAGCAGUCUGGACCACUGGCCACAACAUGGCAGAAAGGCACGCUAGCUUUUGAUCAACCUGACAUAAAUCAAGUUGUGAAUGAACUUGCCUAUUAUUCUGCUAUGAAAUCCACUAUAUAAAUUGAACACGGAUGUUUGGAUCCAGCUCCAUGAUCUGACAUGGCAGAGCUGCAGGAUCUCUGACAUGUAGCAUUGUCUUCUAUUCACUGACUGCUCACUCUCCAAAUCACUUUGGCUUGCUCUUUCCAGCUUGUCAGUGAAUUGUUGCACUGCCUCCUGCAUCAAAAACAGCCUGUGAGCAUACUGUAGCAAGCCAGAUGCCUUGAGGUUGCUUCCUUCCUAUCCUGGGAUAUGUGUCAGCUUCACAUGGUAUACUUUAACAUCUUGAACACCUGGGAGAAUUAGAAUCUGAGAUAAAUUUAAGAUUAAAUUAGCAUCAAGGCUAUUCAUAUAUAUGUAGA